This 74-nucleotide transfer RNA is filed under the name Bacteroidetes bacterium HLUCCA01. RNAcentral describes it as "tRNA-Arg". It matches the Rfam family "tRNA". Rfam says of the family: Transfer RNA (tRNA) molecules are approximately 80 nucleotides in length. Their secondary structure includes four short double-helical elements and three loops (D, anti-codon, and T loops). RNAcentral also lists the same sequence under 3 other names. Lineage: Bacteria; Pseudomonadati; Bacteroidota. The record is from RNAcentral.
GCACCCGUAGCUCAACUGGAUAGAGUACCUGACUACGAAUCAGGCGGUUCCAAGUUCGAAUCUUGGCGGGUGUA